RNAcentral lists this long non-coding RNA (526 nucleotides) under Panax ginseng (ginseng). RNAcentral's name for it is "long non-coding RNA (PGIN_LNC017163)". The record is from RNAcentral. Lineage: Eukaryota; Viridiplantae; Streptophyta; Magnoliopsida; Apiales; Araliaceae.
GCCAGUUCGCCACACAAGGUAAAUCCUAUAUAUGUUAAUUGGUUUGAUCUCCUCCUCGUCAUCCUCUGUAAAUCCCCUCAAAUCGUCUCUCGAUUUCAGCGAUCCCAUAAAGGUAUGUAUGACUCUUCCGUUUCCCCUUCAUCUUGUCGCUCAUCUAUAUUACCCACUUUUCUCCCCUAUCUCUCUCGCUCUAUGGUUUCUAUAUCCCUUUGUAUUACUCACUCUUUCUUAGUCUCAGUAAGUCAAGGGAACAUAGGUUAGGGUUUCGACUUCUUAAGAUAUCAAUUGUUGAGAAGUUAUAGCUUACAAAGUAAAAGGCGAGGCUUUAAUUAUUUGAUGUUUCAGUUGUUCUUAUUUGAACUUAGUUAAGGUCAUAUUUGAUGUAUCAGUUUGAGUUUUAUUUUGUUAAUUACUUAAUUGGUUACAAUGAUUUCACAAUGAAAUUAUUCCAAUAUUUGUAGAACUUGGUUUUGUGGAGUAUUUCAGAGUAACAUUGGUAAGCAAGAUUGGACACACUUUUUAAAAG